Molecule: transfer RNA, 76 nt
Filed under: Aurantimonas sp. 22II-16-19i
Lineage: Bacteria; Pseudomonadati; Pseudomonadota; Alphaproteobacteria; Hyphomicrobiales; Aurantimonadaceae
Description: tRNA-Sec
Source: RNAcentral
GCGGCUGUAGCUCCCAAUGGUGGAGCGACAGCCUUCAAAGUUGCUGAUGAGGAUGGUUCGAUCCCCUUCAGUUGAA